GUCCUUAUAUAGGGAUAAUUAAGCUAGAAGGGGGGUUGAAUAGCUUAAUCACCAGUUUAAAAACUUUAUGGCGUUUUAAAAAGUUUAUCCCCUUUUUAAAAGCUUGUAUCAAGAGUAAUGGUAGUUGUAAAUGCGGAAGCAAAAAGCAAAGAAAGAAAAAUACCACACGAGGGAUUUUAUCCUGGUUCGCGGUGGCUAACUCAACCGAUGGAGUCCACUCACCCCUAGUCCAGUCCCCGAGCUCCUCCCCGGACUCGAGAUUUUCUCUACUAAAAAGAUACUCCUUUAAAGUAGGCGGAGAAGCCUUUACAAAUAUAUAUCUUGGAGCGUAACUUCCCGUUACCUCCUCACUAUAAAUGUAAAAACACCUACAAAGCUUGUCUCGGAACGUAACUCCCCGUUACUUCCUCAAAGUCGAUGUAGAACCUUGUGUAGUCUUUGUACUUCUACACCUUUUGCCGGUCUCGGAUCUUAGGUACUAAAUCUCAGGUCUUUCCUCUUCUUCACGGUGCAAUGACUAUUAACUCCCCGUCAAUACGUCAAGGACUUGGGUCUUAGAACGAAGAACACCUCACUUCACUUCACCUCACUGCAAAAGUUAGAACACAAUAUCUACGAAAAUAUAUCCUUGUUUUAAUUAAGAUUUUUUGUCCGCUAAGUCAGUCCAAUAAUCACGGUCAGGUAUAAGGUUCGUCAAUUAUAACAAAACUAACGGUGAUUAGUCCAACAAUUUAUCUCGCGCGGAAAAUAUAAAUAGUUGAUUUUAAAUCGGAUUGAUUUUAAUAACCUGAGCAAGCCACGUAUGGGCAAGCUACGAGAGUUAUAUUAAUUAGUGUUGAGUGAUUUAUAGAUAUAAUACGCAGUCGAUAAUCACACUCACACACACGGGAUCGGGAACCGCUAAACUCGUAAGGUUAGUAUUUCCACGAAGCACAACACAUAUGGAAACGUUCACCAAAUGAGAAAGGGUAUGUUGGGCGUAGGGAUAUAACAGUUAAGCACAGAUAACACGCACAACAAUAACUAACUUAUUACCUUUGGCCUUAUAUCCGGCUUUCCGUGCCAAGGCAAAGAUCCCCCCAAAGUUUGGUGAGGAAAUCUCAAAGGAUACGAGUUAGGUUCCGGGACAAAACACACGCACAAAUAUAUAACGACUGGCUAACUCGUGUGUUUUGUAAACAAAGAGAGCUUUAAAGAUGAAGAGAGUAUUUUUGUUCAAAAGCCCUUUGUCAAAAAUGGUCGGUUAAGAUACGAGUAAAAUGAAGCUAAAAUAACCACUUACAAAAAGUUCGCCGGAAAAAUUCGUCGGAGGUUCGACCGGAUUUUGGCUUUGCACACGAACUUUGGAGAGCCCUUCGGGAGGACAAAACGAGUGGUAUGAAAAUGAGCUAAGCGAGAUUUGGCUAGGUUGGGUGGUACGAAGCCUCGGGGUUUAAAACCUUGUGUAUAUAACGAAGUAUAUGAAGAAUCGAAGGUUUUAAAGGUGAAGUAAAUAUGGUGGGUGCUUGAAUAAACUUUGGGAGAGUAUUUUCACUUCAAAAUCUCAGCAUAUAUUUGGCUCUUAGCUUAAAGAAAAUGGGUGGGGG
Molecule: long non-coding RNA, 1586 nt
Filed under: Daucus carota (carrot)
Lineage: Eukaryota; Viridiplantae; Streptophyta; Magnoliopsida; Apiales; Apiaceae
Description: long non-coding RNA (DCAR_LNC006327)
Source: RNAcentral